Molecule: ribosomal RNA, 348 nt
Filed under: uncultured bacterium
Lineage: Bacteria
Description: bacterial SSU rRNA
Rfam family: Bacterial small subunit ribosomal RNA
Source: RNAcentral
GGGCCCGCACAAGCGGUGGAGCAUGUGGUUUAAUUCGAUGAUACGCGAGGAACCUUACCAGGGCUUAAAUGUAAGUUGCAUAAGUUAGAGAUAGCUUUUUUCUUCGGACUACUUACAAGGUGCUGCAUGGUUGUCGUCAGCUCGUGCCGUGAGGUGUCAGGUUAAGUCCUAUAACGAGCGCAACCCCUGUUGUUAGUUGCCAGCGAGUCAAGUCGGGAACUCUAACAAGACUGCCGGUGCAAACCGCGAGGAAGGUGGGGAUGACGUCAAAUCAUCACGGCCCUUACGUCCUGGCUACACACGUGCUACAAUGGCCGGUACAGAGAGCAGCCACUACGCGAGUAGGAG